This 5195-nucleotide long non-coding RNA is filed under the name Sus scrofa (pig). RNAcentral describes it as "lncRNA (ENSSSCG00045010849.1)". The record is from RNAcentral. Lineage: Eukaryota; Metazoa; Chordata; Mammalia; Artiodactyla; Suidae.
UUUUUUUUUUUUUUUUUUUUUUUCAAGAACUGCUGGUGUGGAGAGGAGGGACUUGACAGGGGGUCCAAAGUCUGGAAAUUCCACAGAGGAAAGAACAAAGGAAGAUGUAGUAGGAGUAUGUUUAUUCCUCUUGGAUAAUUUUUUCCUCCUCUAAGAAUGAGGAACAAGGAGAGAAUUUUGUAGUUUGUUUCAGUAGAAAAGUACAGAAGAUGGCAAAUGGCACUCAGAAUUUACCUUGUGGAUAGGAUAUAUUCAUACUACCUUGAAUAGUAAAAGAAAAUAAGUACCUUAAAAAGCUGCUAAGAGAAAAUGAACAUUUAGGAAUAAUGGUUGGCUAUUUUCCUUAUUUUUAAAAGAGAUUCUUGGGGUUUUUUCUGAGGAUUAUAUGAAAGUUAAAAGAAAACGUUGUUGAGUAAACACUAGAAAUCUAUGUUAUCUAAGUUAUUUCCAUUGAAUAGUAAUUUUAUUAUUUCAUAUAAUCAUUUUUAUGUAAUUAUGUGAUGAGCUCGUGUUAUACUUAUGCUUAAAAAUGACUCUUUUGGGGAGUUCCCGUUGUGGCUCAGUGGUUAACAACUCCAAUUAGUAACCAUGAGGUUGAGGGUUUAAUCCCUGGCCUUGUUCAGUGGGUUAAGGAUCUGGCAUUGCCAUGAGCUGUGAUGUAGGUCCCAGAGGCGGCUUGGAUCUGGCAUUGCUGUGGUUCCAGCAUAGGCCGGUAGCUGUAGCUCAGUUUAGACCCCUAGCCUGGGAACCUCCAUAUGCCAUGGGUAUGGCCCUAAAAAGACAAAAAAAAAAAGACUUUUGAAAUAUGUUGUAUGAAAGGUAUUAAAAUCAAUUUCAGAGUUAAAAAAAAAAAAGAAAGAUUCCUUUGUCUCUGCUGACUUUAUGUCUUCAUGAGGGUUAUUGUUUAUUUUUUUAUUUGCUUUUUAGGGCCGCACCCGAGGCACAUGGAAGUUCCCAGGCCAGGCAUGGAAUCAGAGCUACCGUUGCCGGCCCAUGCCACAGCCACAGCAACUCAGGAGCCUUAACCACUGAGCGAGGCCAGGCAGCUAACUAACCCUCAUCCUCACGCUGCACCACAGUGGGAACUCCUGAAGGUUAUUGUUUUAACAAAGGUCUGCAUGCCCACAGCUGCUUGAGAAGAAAGAAUUUCACCACAAAUCAGGAAAAUCAAAACAAAAUUAGAAAGGAAACAAAACACUUUUAAAACAUUCUAGACCCAGGAUAGGGCCUGAAAGAGCAGGAUUUUCACCCAAAACUGUAUAAAUCAUUCUUCACAUUCCAUUUACACAAUGUGCAAACAGAGAGGUCAGCUGUCUGGCCAGCACUCACAAGCACCCACCCAGGAAUUCGGUUCUUCCAGACCCAUGUUCCCCAAGGGUGGCAGCUAUGCUCUGAAACUUCUCUUACUGCCCUGGCAUGCAUCUAUGUGUAUGCUUGCAUUAAAUCCCAUCUGGUGCUAUUCAGGUGAUUUUAAUUGAAACACUGAAUAUGGCGAGUAGUUGAGAUAAUGCAUUGAAAGUUUUCCACAAGAUGAAAUUGCAUCUUCUGGCAUUUUAUUUUUGAUUAACUGGCUAGGUUGAUAUUGUUUCUGAGCAAAAGCUUUCUAUGAAAAGCAUGUCUUAUGACAGAAAGGGGCUAUCAUGAGCUGAGCAGUCACACCAACCAGAAGGCUUUCUCUAAUGUAAACCCUGUCAGGGACUUCCCAAUGUGGCUCGGCAGUAACAAACCUGACUAGUAUCCAUGAGGACACAUUUGAUCCAUGGCCUCGCUAAAUGGGUUGAGGAUCCAGCGUUGCUGUGCCUGUGGGGUAGGCCGGCAGGUGUAGCUCCAAUUUGACCCCUAGCCUGGGAACUUCCUUAUGCCAUGGGUGUGUCCCUAAAAAGACAAAAAAAAUAGUAAAAUUUUUAAAAAUAACAAAUUAAACCCUGUCAGCUGCCAGAGGCCCUAUAGAAAGGACAGAAAGGAGAGGGAUUAAGUGAAUAUCCUUGAUAACAGCUCUGCUGUAAGUGAUAUAAUGAGAAUAAAUAAACAAAGAGUUUAUUUGAAUAAAUAAAGAGUUGAGGAAAAUCAUGGGUACCCAGAUUCACAGUGUUUAGUUAGCCUAGCUGAAGCCGAAUACACUAUUUCCACUUCUUUUUCUUACAAGUUUAUGAUACUCGCAUCUCCAGGCUUAGGCUGAAUGCUUAGCUUUUUGUCUCAGACUUAUAUCACUGCUCAGCCUUUUGGCUAAGAUCAAGUGAAGUUUAGCCUUAUAAGCUGCAGGAUGCAAUACCUCUUCAAACAGCCAAAUGAUGCAUACACAAGUUCUAUUUGGUAUUCAUUUCCGCCUGUCCACAGCAAUGAACCACUGAUUCUGAAUCUACUGCACAUUGGUUUUAUACAUCAAGUAUUGCAGAUGAAAAGUCUGCUAGCCUUCUGAUUUUCUUUCCCUUCCGGGGAAGGAAAAGUACUUUUAUUUUUAUCCUUUAGGAUUUUCUUUUUAUCUCAAGCGCUAAUGUGCUAAUUUUUGUGAAAGGUCCAUGUCUAGGUUCAAUAAUUUUUGCAUCUAGACUUCUAAUUAUUCCAGCACGGUUUGUUAAAAAGAUUAUCCUUUCUCUACUGAAUUGCCUUUGCUCUUUUGUCAAAGGAUCUACUUCUAAGCUCCUUAAUCCAUGUCAUUCAUCUAUAUCAAUCUAUAGAUCUGUCACCAAUACCAUGCCCUCAGCUUGCCCUGUAAGAAAGGUUUAGCAACAUAUACUCCCAAUAACAGUUUUACCAUUGCUCCACAUCCUCGUCAAUACUGUUAUCUGUCUUUUUAAAUUUUUUUCCUAUCUAUUAGACUCUCCUCCCUACCUCCAGAUAUUUAUUUUUUCAAGAGGGCUAAUGUGUUGUAUUUUUAAUGACUGUGUUGUGUUUUUAAUGAUUUGUCAGUGCUGUUUACAUAUUAUAGAUAUUGACCUUUUUGUUACCAAUAUUGCAAAUAGUUCCCUCAAAUUUCCUAGUUAUCCUUUUAACUUUGUUUCCCUUUUAUUACACAGAAGUUCUUCAUUUCUAUGUAACCAAACCAGUCUUUUAAGUUUCAUGGCUUGUGUAAAUGUUUUACUUCUGUGUUUCAUUUCUUACUUAGAAAAGCCUUUGACACCUGCCAGGUACCUUGGAGUCCAGUUAUCAAUCAAGUUAUAGCAACUGUGGGGAACCUGUGGUUUACAUAUUUUCAUUUGAAAAUUUUUGCUUUCUCAUAUUAUCACUGUCAUUUUCUUAACACUAUCUAAUAUCCAACCUAGCUAAUAAAUCUAAUGCCACUUCAAAAAAAAAUAUUUGUGUCUUACUGGAAAUAGAUAUAAAGUGGAUAAAAAUAAAUGUAAAUUGAACUCUUAGGUAUAUAUCCCAAAGAACUGAAACCAGGUGUGCAAACAGAAAUCUGUGUACAAAUAUUUGCAUAGAGCUCUUCACAAAAGCCAAAAGGCAGAAACAAGCCAAAUGUCCUUUGGAUGAUGAGUGGAUAAACAAACACAGUAUACCAGAUAUUGGAAUAGUAUCAGGAGUGAAAUGCCAAUACACGCUACAACCUAAGGGACCUGCAAAACAUUAUGCUAUGUACAAAGUAGCCAGACACAAAAUUUCUCAUACUGUGUGACUCCAUUUACAUGAAAUAUUGAGAAUAAGUAAAUUCAUAGAGACAGAAAGCAGAUUCAAGGUUGCUAGGGACUGUGGGGAGGGGAUAAUAGAGACUGCAUAAUGAGUAUGGUGUUGCCUUAUGGGGGGAUGAACAUGUUUUGGAACUAGAUAGAGGCAAUGGUUGUGCAACAUUUGUGAAUAUACUAAAUGCCCCUGAAUUAUACAUUAUUUUUUAAUUUCUUUUAUCAUUACUUAGAAAUAAUUGUAUAUCAAAUAUCAGUAUAUGAUGUAUCAUUAUCACAAAAAGAGGAAUAAGAGGGAAAGACAAUCUCGAAUUUCACCUACCAAUUACCAGGAUGUUCCAAUGAACAAAUCAACUUCAUGUUCACCUCGUCCAUCUACAGAACUCAUUGAUAUUAGCCAAAUUAGCUGCACAGCUAUGUUUCAACUUUAACAUUUGCAAUAUUUUAUUUUUUAAUUUUUAUUUCAUAUUGGUAUAUAGUUGAUUUACAAUGUUAUAUUAGUUUCAGGUAUACAGAAAGGGAUUCAGUUUUAUAUAUAUAUACACACAUAUAUAUAUAUAUUCUUUUUCAAAUUCUUUUCCCAUAUAGGUUAUUACAGAAUAUUGAGUAGAUUUCCUUGUACUAUAUAGUAGGUCCUGUUGAUUAUCUAUUUUAUAUACAGUAGUAAUGUGUAUAUGUUAAUCCCUAACUCCUAAUUUAUCUCUCCCCCACCUUUCCCUUUUGGUAACCAUAAAUUGGUUUUCUAAGUCUGUGAGUCUGUUCCUGUUUUGUAAAUAAGUUCACUUGUAUGAUUUUUUUAGAUUCUACAUAUAAAUGAUGUCAUAUAUUUGUUUUUCUCUGUCUGACUUACUUCACUUAGUAUGAUAAUCUCUAGGCCCAUCUAUGUUCCUAUAAAUGGCAUUAUUUUAUUCUUUUUUACAGCUGAGUAAUAUUUUGUUGCAUACAUGUACCACAUAUCCUUUAUCUAGUCCUCUGUCAAUGGACAUUUAGGUUGCUUCUACGUCUUGGCUGUUGUAAAUGGUGCUGCAAUGAACACUGGGGUACAUAUAUCUUUCUGAAUUACGGUUUUCUCUGCGUAUAUGCCCAGGAGUGGGAUUGCUGGAUCAUAUGGCAACUAUAAUUUUCUUCUUUUUUGAGGAACCUCCAUACUGUUCUCCAUGGUGGUGAAACUGAGCAGGGCGCUGUGAUGCUCCUGGACACAAAAGGCUUUCCAUGUCCCCUAUUUCUUAUUUUUAGGAAAUGGGCUUCAUUCAGCCUCCAUGGCCUUCUGAGUUCCAAGGAGCAGGUUCAGACAGUUACUAAUCAGGGCAGGGAGGGGAUGCAGAGGCAAGGGAGGAGCAGUCAAGAAUCAAUAGUGCACAGAGUUCCCUUCGUGGUGCAGUGGUUAAAGAAUCCGACUAGGAACCAUGGAGUUGCAGGUUUUCCCUGGCCUUGCUCAGUGGGUUGAGGAUCUGGCGUAGCUGUGAGUUAUGGUGUAGGUCACAGACACGGCUUGGCUCAGAUCCUGCGUUGCUGUGGCUCUGGUGUAGGCUCUACAGCUCCGAUUCGACCCCUAGCCAGGGGACUCCAUGUACU